UGGGGAUCUAGCUCAGUUGGUAGAGUGCUUGCCUUGCGUGCACAAGGCCCUGGGUUUAAUCCCCAGAACCACAA
This 74-nucleotide transfer RNA is filed under the name Marmota monax (woodchuck). RNAcentral's name for it is "tRNA.Ala". It matches the Rfam family "tRNA". Rfam says of the family: Transfer RNA (tRNA) molecules are approximately 80 nucleotides in length. Their secondary structure includes four short double-helical elements and three loops (D, anti-codon, and T loops). Lineage: Eukaryota; Metazoa; Chordata; Mammalia; Rodentia; Sciuridae. The record is from RNAcentral.